Molecule: long non-coding RNA, 654 nt
Organism: Asparagus officinalis (garden asparagus)
Lineage: Eukaryota; Viridiplantae; Streptophyta; Magnoliopsida; Asparagales; Asparagaceae
Exons: 3
Source: RefSeq, a predicted model, not a curated record
CAAGAGGAAACUCCUUGAAAAGAGUGGAAGCUACGACUCGCUGCAGAGUUUAUAUACGAGGUCGGGGUUCGGUCAAUGAUUCUGCUAAGGUGCAUCACCCAAGACCAGAUUUUUACAAGAAACAGCGGCUGAGGGAAUUGGCAAUUCUGAACGGUACUCUAAGAGGAGAGCCCUCAUAGGAGUCCUAGUGCAUCUCCAUUCAACAGCACAGGGAAGAAACGUGCGAAAACUGGGUUAUAAGACUUUUUCACUGCUUCAAACCUUUGCCUUGUGAAUACGUACUCACUCUCGCUCUAGAAUGGAGAUUUGUCGAUUGAAGAACAACAGGACCUCCAGCUUUGGUUGGUUGGUGUUAUUGGUUGGUGUUGUUGGUUUGCUGGUGGGUGUUUCCUGGUGUUUUUGAAACCUGGUUGUGUUCAGGUUCUGUUUUGGUUCAUGUUUGGUUCAUUGUUGGUGGCUGAUGGGUGUUUCAUGGUUCAUUUUCCUGCAUUGGUUUAGGGGAUUUUUGUUACCAAACCCUCUAUGCAUACCCCCAAAUGCUAUUUCAGUUUUGUGUAGGCCUGGUUCUUGAAUGUUGGUAUUUUUUUUGCUUUCAGGCCAAGAUAUUGACGCUCAUGUAUUCAGGCAGAUUUGUGAACAUAUUUUCAGUUUUGU